AAAUAUUAAAUAUGUUGGUCGCUAAAAUCGGUCGCCUAACCCAAAUCAAUUAUUUUUAAUCAAUAUUUACCUUUUACUUUUCAGUUUCCCAAAUCAAAUCAAAUUAAGUGUAAAGCAUAACCUCACCACCCAAAUCAAAUUUCGCUUAACCCUUGAAUGCCUAAAACCAUAUUUUCGCGAAGCAGAACCUCACCACCUUACCACCGCACAACCCUUCUUCUCACCAUCGUUUAACCCUCACUCGUUUAACCCUAACUCGUUCACGAGCUCGUUCACCAUCAUGGCUCACACAAACCCUCACUCGUUUAACCCGCCUUGGUAAGGUUGUGUAUUAGACCACAAAGAAGAGAGCUAGUGGAAAAAGAUACACAUUAAUACGAGGGACUUGUGGUUUCAAGAAUUUAAAGGUAUGUUAUGCUUGUUCUGCUUGUAGUCAUUCUGCUUGAUCUAUUUCAGUUUGACAGGCUACUUAGUACGCACUGUGUGUCACUUAGGUACGUAGGAAAUUUGAUUUAGGUUUGUUAAUUUUAUAUAACCAUUUUCCGGUUGUAGAGAAUUUAAAAAAUUUGCUUUUGCAAAGCAAGAGUCCAUGUAAACAAAUUUAACAUAAACAUUUGAUUUUUUUUUAUUUUGUUUUUGUGAUGGAUUUAAUGGUCCUGAUGCAACUGAUUAUCUUGUUAAUAAUAUUUUUUAUGUUGUACAUGAUGAGCUUAAAGGGUUUCUAUGUAAUCGAAAUCAAAAUAGUAGUAAUAAAGUGAAGAGGGUUUUUGUCACAUAGAUGUUUUUUUUUUUAAUGGAUCACAUAGACGUGUUAGAAGCUCUUUCUGAGGCAAUGAGGAAAACUGAGGAUGCAUGUUUUAAUAUAAUUAAUGAGAUGAUUAAUCAUAAUCCUGUUUUGGCUAUGAUGGGUUCUUGUGUUUUGGUUAUGUUGAUGAAAGGUUAAGAUGAUCCUUCUGCGGUAACUAAAGGCCGAGUGAAAGGUUACUUGAAUAUCACAAGGGCUUUUAAUUUGGAGCAGAAUUCCUUAAGCAAGUAACUUGAUAGCCUAUAUACUGAAUUUGCUUACACUCCUGCUAAAAAAAUUUGCUAUACUAGUUUCAUUUUCAUUGUCAUUGUUAUAUUGAAUUACAUUAUUGUGUAAGUUCUUUUAAGAAUCAAUGCUAUAAGGGAAGUGUUAUUGUUUAGCUGCUUCUUGGAUUUAGCAGGCGGCUUUGGUUCUUUUCUUUCAUGUUUUCAUUAUUAUGUGUUGUGUGGGUUAUAAUUUUUUAGUGUUAUAUUAUUUAUGUGUUUAGGUUUGUAAUGUCGGGUGGAUGUUUUUUUGUUCUGUUUAAGGUGUGGUAUAUUUGUCAUGGUGUUUUCUAGGUACACUUCUAUGUUCUUUUGCAGCCUGUGCUUUGGUAGCGGGCUUCUAUGUACUUCUUCCCCAUUUUUGGCACUUCUUGUGCUAAUGUUUGAGCUAUUAAUAUAUUUGCAGUUUCAAAACAAAAACAUUGAUCUGUUCUUGAGUUUCAGUUGGUUUGGAUUGGAUUAUAUCCUAUUUGGAUUAAUUAACAGGUUAUCUUUGGUUUUUGAUUUCAGGAUACAAAAUGAUAGGAUUCUUUCUUACCUGGGUGCUUGUGUAUGUUUUGCACUGUCAUAACAUUUUGCAUCUAGAUAAUGUUGAUUAUUUACAUUUGUAUUAUUUGAAAUUUCAGGAUACAAAAUGAUAGGAUUCUUUCUUACCUGGAAAACAAAUUAUGAUAUUAUUUCUUCAAACUUAUUAAUAUACAUUGGAUUUUCUUCUUCUAACUGUGUUCACACCAAGUAGGGAACCAAUGUUGUGAUGCAAUGAGAAUUAAGUCUGAGUACUUGGAUAUCAGUGGUAAGGAAUUAUGGAAAUUAAGGAGCUAUAAUGAUGAAUAUGUUUUCUUGUUACAAGGUAAUUCCUAAAAUGAAUUAGCUUAACUUUUGUGAAUGAUACUAUUGAGAUUCAGGCUCUAACAUGUUUACUAAUACGUAUCAUUCAGAUGUGAAGAUCCAUGAUGAAGGUGUUGUUGAACUUGAAGUUGAUGAAAAAUGUUUGUUUAUGGAGUUUAGCAGCAAGCUGAGGUUAAUAAGUACAUUGUUCAGUAUAAUUGUUUUAGAGAUUGGUUACAAAUUACAUGCCAGCUUGCUAGGGAUAUUUAAGGCUUGUAAAAUGUAAUGAAGGAUCCCAAUUACCUUAGGUUUGAAUGUAGUUAGUUACUUUAACAUCCUAGAUGAUGUAUGUAUGUCUCUUGCAUGAUGAUAUAUUUUGGUUAAAAUAUAACUUUAGCCAUUGAUCUUUUCAAAGGUACACAAAUAUUUCAAAUUGUAAUGAUGCAGAUUGACCAAAUAUUGGAGGUAUAAUGUUUUCUAAUCAAUAUUUUAUACUUUUAGUUUUUUAUUAUAUAUAGUCAUGUUUUCAUUAGAUGAUGUAUAUCUCUUGUACAAUGAUUUCAUUUUGGCUAAAAUAUAAUUUUAGUCCUUUAUCUGUUGUGUAAAAUUUACUGUGAUCCUUCAUCUUUACAUAGUUACACAUUCACAAAUUUUAUGUGUUUCUAGCUGCAGGUUGUGUCUCAUGCACAUUGCUUGUCCACGUGCUGCGUCUUUUUUUUUUUUGUUCGUGCCUUGGUCGUACCUCAAAAAUGCCGUGUCGGGAUCGGCUUGGGUUGGAAACGCUUUUUGCUUCUGGUGCUUGAGUAUAGCUAGUGGCAUUGGCGAGAGGUCCUAAGGCACCACCAUUUAAAAAGCAUCGCUGGAAAUUUUUGUUUUGUGGAACCUGUUGGUGUGAUGCGGUAUCGAGGUUGUCGCAAGCAGAUUGCUUAUCUCAGCUUAUGUAUAGGUUUGACUCUUCCAGAUCAACUGUGUGAUCAGUUAAGGAGUUUGGUUGGAUGCUUUUUGAUCCUUUUCUUCAUUUGUAUAUAGUUUGCUUGUUUAAGAUUGAUUGGCUGCCUUGGAUUGUCUCUUUUCCAUUUGAUUGUUAAUCAGCAUAUCAGAAUGUAUUGCUUGGGUAGUUGGGUUUAUUGGCAGGGUAGUUGGAAUUUUGUUAAGGAGAUGAAUUGCUUCUUUAUUUUUGGAUUGAUUAUGUAUUUUUGGAUAAAUAGUUGGUAAUACUUAAAUAUAAAUAUAUUAUGUUCA
RNA transcript from Trifolium pratense (red clover), 3138 nucleotides. RefSeq lists it as uncharacterized. The record is from RefSeq and is a predicted model, not a curated record. The transcript has 3 exons. NCBI's taxonomy places the organism in Eukaryota, Viridiplantae, Streptophyta, Magnoliopsida, Fabales, Fabaceae.